Molecule: long non-coding RNA, 388 nt
Organism: Photinus pyralis (common eastern firefly)
Lineage: Eukaryota; Metazoa; Arthropoda; Insecta; Coleoptera; Lampyridae
Exons: 3
Source: RefSeq, a predicted model, not a curated record
UCUAACGCGCGCAGUCGUACGCGCGACAUCUCGCAAGUUGUUCUAUUUGCGAAAGACGAAAAGUACCAACUACAGUUUUCGAAGCUCGUAAACCAAAAGUUAAAAACUUUUUCUCUUGUAUUGUUUCUUAAACAUAUUAACCAAGUGUCCUCCGCGGUUGUGUAAAGAAAACUUUUGUGGUUCAAAAAGUGAAAUAGCUUCGUUAGUUUCAUUGUCAGUUAAAAGGUUCGUUGUGUCAAGUUUUCUGAUCACGUGAUGUGUCAAUAUGUGCAGCAGUAGAAGGGAGGAACGGAUGGGUAAGUUAACAAGUACUCCUUCACAUGCUCAUAAUAAUAAUACGGAGGGUUACAAAUAGAGAUGAUUCAUAGUAGAUAUCCUUUUUUAGCGC